CAGUCUCGAUCUGCGUCGGGCUUAUAAAGUGGAUGUGUGUGUCGAUCCCCCCGGCAGUCAUGAUCAUCCCAGCACCGCCAUGCACUUCUGUUGAAGGCCCAAUAAUCAUUCCUUCUGUUACGCCAUCCUGUACAUCCGGAUUUCCAGCUUUACCAACGCCAACUAUCUUUCCAUCUUUAAUACCCACAUCAGCUUUUACAAUGCCCCAAUGGUCGAUGAUAAUAACGUUGUUUAUACAAAAAUCGAGCACGUCUUCAUCGCGCAAAGCACGCGCCGACUGGCCCAUACCAUCACGAAUUG
RNAcentral lists this small RNA (300 nucleotides) under Sphingobacterium deserti. Its description in RNAcentral is "5' ureB small RNA". It matches the Rfam family "5' ureB small RNA". Lineage: Bacteria; Pseudomonadati; Bacteroidota; Sphingobacteriia; Sphingobacteriales; Sphingobacteriaceae. The record is from Rfam by way of RNAcentral.